GAGGGAAAGGCGAAAAGAACCCCGGCGAGGGGAGUGAAACAGAACCUGAAACCGUGUACGUACAAGCAGUGGGAGCGCAGGUUUAGGUGUGUGACUGCGUACCUUUUGUAUAAUGGGUCAGCGACUUAUAUUCUGUAGCAAGGUUAACCGUAUAGGGGAGCCGGAGGGAAACCGAGUCUUAAUUGGGCGUUAAGUUGCAGGGUAUAGACCCGAAACCCGGUGAUCUAGCCAUGGGCAGGUUGAAGGUUGGGUAACACUAACUGGAGGACCGAACCGACUAAUGUUGAAAAAUUAGCGGAUGACCUGUGGCUGGGGGUGAAAGGCCAAUCAAACCGGGAGAUAGCUGGUUCUCCCCGAAAGCUAUUUAGGUAGCGCCUCGUGAAUUCAUCUCCGGGGGUAGAGCACUGUUUCGGCCAGGGGGCCAUCCCGGCUUACCAACCCGAUGCAAACUGCGAAUACCGGAGAAUGUUAUCACGGGAGACACACGGCGGGUGCUAACGUCCGUCGUGAAGAGGGAAACAACCCAGACCGCCAGCUAAGGUCCCAAAGUCAUGGUUAAGUGGGAAACGAUGUGGGAAGGCCCAGACAGCCAGGAUGUUGGCUUAGAAGCAGCCAUCAUUUAAAGAAAGCGUAAUAGCUCACUGGUCGAGUCGGCCUGCGCGGAAGAUGUAACGGGGCUAAACCAUGCACCGAAGCUGCGAUAAUGCGGGUGAAAAACCCGCACGCCGGAAGACCAAGGGUUCCUGUCCAACGUUAAUCGGGGCAGGGUGAGUCGACCCCUAAGGCGAGGCCGAAAGGCGUAGUCGAUGGGAAACAGGUUAAUAUUCCUGUACCUGGUGUUACUGCGAAGGGGGGACGGAGAAGGCUAUGUUGGCCGGGCGACGGUUGUCCCGGUUUAAGCGUGUAGGCUGGUUUUCCAGGCAAAUCCGGAAAAUCAAGGCUGAGGCGUGACGACGAGGCACUACGGUGCUGAAGCAACAAAUGCCCUGCUUCCAGGAAAAGCCUCUAAGCCUCAGGUAACAUCAGAUCGUACCCGAAACCGACACAGGUGGUCAGGUAGAGAAUACCAAGGCGCUUGAGAGAACCCGGGUGAAGGAACUAGGCAAAAUGGUGCCGUAACUUCGGGAGAAGGCACGCUGACACGUAGGUGAAGCGGUUUACCCGUGAAGCUGAAGUCAGUCGAAGAUACCAGCUGGCUGCAACUGUUUAUUAAAAACACAGCACUGUGCAAACACGAAAGUGGACGUAUACGGUGUGACGCCUGCCCGGUGCCGGAAGGUUAAUUGAUGGGGUCAGCGCAAGCGAAGCUCCUGAUCGAAGCCCCGGUAAACGGCGGCCGUAACUAUAACGGUCCUAAGGUAGCGAAAUUCCUUGUCGGGUAAGUUCCGACCUGCACGAAUGGCGUAAUGAUGGCCAGGCUGUCUCCACCCGGGACUCAGUGAAAUUGAACUCGCUGUGAAGAUGCAGUGUACCCGCGGCAAGACGGAAAGACCCCGUGAACCUUUACUAUAGCUUGACACUGAACACUGGUCCUUGAUGUGCAGGAUAGGUGGGAGGCUUUGAAGUGUGGACGCCAGUCUGCAUGGAGCCGUCCUUGAAAUACCACCCUUUAAUGGCUGGUGUUCUAACGUAGACCCGUGAACCGGGUUGCGGACAGUGUCUGGUGGGUAGUUUGACUGGGGCGGUCUCCUCCUAAAGCGUAACGGAGGAGCACGAAGGUUGGCUAAUCCUGGUCGGACAUCAGGAGGUUAGUGCAAUGGCAUAAGCCAGCUUGACUGCGAGCGUGACGGCGCGAGCAGGUGCGAAAGCAGGUCAUAGUGAUCCGGUGGUUCUGAAUGGAAGGGCCAUCGCUCAACGGAUAAAAGGUACUCCGGGGAUAACAGGCUGAUACCGCCCAAGAGUUCAUAUCGACGGCGGUGUUUGGCACCUCGAUGUCGGCUCAUCACAUCCUGGGGCUGAAGUAGGUCCCAAGGGUAUGGCUGUUCGCCAUUUAAAGUGGUACGCGAGCUGGGUUUAGAACGUCGUGAGACAGUUCGGUCCCUAUCUGCCGUGGGCGCUGGAGAACUGAGGGGGGCUGCUCCUAGUACGAGAGGACCGGAGUGGACGCAUCACUGGUGUUCGGGUUGUCAUGCCAAUGGCACUGCCCGGUAGCUAAAUGCGGAAGAGAUAAGUGCUGAAAGCAUCUAAGCACGAAACUUGCCCCGAGAUGAGUUCUCCCUGAGACUACAAGUCUCCUGAAGGAACGUUGAAGACGACGACGUUGAUAGGCCGGGUGUGUAAGCGCAGCGAUGCGUUGAGCUAACCGGUACUAAUGAACCGUGAGGCUUAACCUUACAACGCCGAAG
This 2345-nucleotide ribosomal RNA is filed under the name Salmonella enterica subsp. arizonae serovar 18:z4,z23:- str. CVM N4410. RNAcentral describes it as "bacterial LSU rRNA". It matches the Rfam family "Bacterial large subunit ribosomal RNA", at positions 505 to 2925 of the family's 2925-position model. The record is from RNAcentral. Lineage: Bacteria; Pseudomonadati; Pseudomonadota; Gammaproteobacteria; Enterobacterales; Enterobacteriaceae.